This is a long non-coding RNA of Hermetia illucens (black soldier fly), 926 nucleotides long. RefSeq lists it as uncharacterized. The record is from RefSeq and is a predicted model, not a curated record. The transcript has 2 exons. Lineage: Eukaryota; Metazoa; Arthropoda; Insecta; Diptera; Stratiomyidae.
UCUUUAUUCUUACUAAAUAGCUGAUUGUGGUAGAUCUAGAUGUAUGCGGGCACAUCUACAUUUUUUAGAAUGUUUACAUUAUGUUUUUUGCUUAAGUUUGCCGGCUGGUUAGCUACAUUGAUCUAGAGGUUGAUAGACGUAGAUCUAUGAGUGGGUAUUACAUACAACCAUGCAUACAUAUUUACGCACUUAUCUUAAAGCGUGUUAUCAGAUGUACAAGGGGCUCCCAUGUUCAGAUAUCACCCCAGGAAAAUAAUAUUUUUUCACUUCUAAGAAAUUAGGUGGAACGUGUUUCUUAGUCAUAAUGUGUCCAUAUUAUUUUUCUUAUUUUUUUCCGGCAUUUUUUUUUAUAAUUCAAUGAUUCUGCUGAAGGUGAUGUAAAAGCCGGUAAAUGUUAGCUUAAUUUUCUUAUGAAUUGAUAUAAUUAAAACCAGAACUAGUUUCAUUUUUACGUGCAUUGAUGCACGCAUGAUUAGAAAUCUUUAUUUUCCACAAAGACCUCGAUUUGCUCAAUUUACUAUCGUAUUGUUGGUCUAGAAUUAGUAGCAGGCGUGCAUGCAUAGAAUCAAGGGGCAGUGAAUGCGGUGACGAUUGUUCUUGUUUUUGUUUACGUUUUUAAGUUGAUUUCGUAAUUUCGAUGGAGGUAUUUCAUUAAUGAAAUGUGUAUAUUUUUUGUCACGGUGCGGUUAGCUCGUGUCACAUGUCGCACGUAGUAGUGGUGUGCAACAUUAUUAGCAAGUGCGAAGAAGUCCACCUAAAAAAGAUCCAAAAGAAGUCGGGAAACCGGAAACUGAUGCUUUAAGUAUACAUGUAAGAAUAUUUAAAUAGGAAUUUGUCUCAUUUGUACUUAGCUCGUAUUGUUUAGGGGGUCAAUUUCUAAAAAACAUAUGAAUAAUAAAUAUGUAUAUAUACUAUUAUUAACUCUA